Molecule: long non-coding RNA, 2781 nt
Organism: Cavia porcellus (domestic guinea pig)
Lineage: Eukaryota; Metazoa; Chordata; Mammalia; Rodentia; Caviidae
Exons: 3
Source: RefSeq, a predicted model, not a curated record
CUAGAAUUCAGAUGCUUUUGGCUUGACCAAGGCCCGUGUGACUUGGUCCUCUGCCACCAUCCUUUGUACUACAGAGCUCUCUAAUAAGAUCUCGCGAGGGCAAAUGAGAGUCAUGGGUCAUAGGAUCAGGGGACAGAACCUAGGCCCAGCUAAGGAAAGAAAGCUGAAGUGAAUUCACCCAAACCCUUUUAACUUCUGCUCCUCUGCUCUAAAACACUUCAUGCCCCACCCCAGAGCCUGCUACUCAAACCACAGGCCCUGUCUCAGGAAAUCAACUUGGGUUGAUCCUCAGCAGCUUUAAAAACAAGAGAUAAAAUAAUGAACAAGACAAAACGAAUCACUGUGAAGAAAUCGAACAGGAAUUACCAGACAUGGCUGCUGAAGUCAUCCUGAAUCUCCUCCCGAGCUGGUUUCCAUUCCUUCACCCAGGCUCUCAACGGCUAACAGAUAAACACUUUUCUACCUCCUCAUCUGGGAUCCAGUCUAGGAGCCUGCCUUGUACUUGGUUCUCAUGUCCUUUUAAUCUGGAACAAUCCCUUAGCUGUCUUUGUCUUCAGAGACAUUCACAUCUUUGAAGAAUAUGGACCACUGAGAUUGUAGGAUUUCUUUCAAUUUGGCUUUGCCCAGUGUUUUUCUGUGGUUAGAGUCCAAUAAUUAUAGGUGGAAUACAUGGUACGUGAAGCUAUAUCCUUCUCAGUGCUGCACAUCAGGAGCCACUGGAGGUCAACCUAUUAGUAAGACUCAAAUCUGUGCCUCUUCAAACUUUCACCAAAUAUUCUGGCAUUUCUUGAUGAUUCUUGCUGAAUUCAAUUGUUUCUAUGAUGUCAGCAACAAGUGCCAGUCAUUACCGCAUAUCUAAUUUAGCAUAUUCAUGCUCCAUCUUAUUUUUGUAAAUGAGUGAAAAUUCAGUUUGAAAAUUUAUAUGCUGGAGCUGGGGGUGUAGCUCAGUGUUAGAACAUGUGCUUAGCAUGUGUGAGGCCUUGAGUUUGAUCCUCAGCACACAAAGGAAACCCCACAAAAAUUCUUUGCUAAUGAUAAUAAAAAAUUAAUUAGCUCAUGUGUGUAGACCAGUGGGUUUGUACUGCUUGACCCUUUUUGAGCUUAUAGAGGUACCAUGUUACAAAGGAGACUUUCACAGGUUCUUUCAAGAUGUUGCUGACACAGGUUCUCAUUGUCAUUUCAAUCUUUUGUUGUCCUUUCUUUUCUUACUGAACCAGAGCCUCCUGCGUGCCAGGGAAGCAUUCUAUCACUGAGCGACAUCCCGAGCCCCAUUUCAAUCUUUAAGAUUAGAGCUUUUUUGCAACCAGCUUCUGACAUGUUAUGGCUAUGGUUUUUGAAAAAGAAUCUAGAUGUGUAUUCAUGUGUAAAUCACAUUCAUGUUCAGUUCAAACUAGAACUUUGACAUUACUUUUAAUCAAUCACACACAUUAUGCAGCUUCCAUAGCAUGGCAGAGAAAUUGCUUGAUGUUAGUUCUGGGAGGCUACGGCCAAACCCUGAAAUGGUGGGUGGGACGUGUGGGGUAGGUCCUUCUCAGGUUCCUGCUGUCUUAGACAAAGGACGUUUGCAUUAUGAAGGUGAGCUAAACAUCUCUGCAAUAAUAGAUGGGGCCUUCAACAAGGUCAUUUCUGCAACUACACCACAAGAAGAAGGCUUCUGCCUUGUCUCUCAGAAUCAAGAAGUGGCUUCAGAAUUGUUUGACUUCUGUCAAAAGGCUGCGUUUCAGCAAGCAUUGAGCAAACAUCACCUGUUCUAGCCAAACACACCCUCCUAACCCCAGCAUAUGGGAAGAAUAACAAGGUGGAGAGCCUCAAGGAUGUCUGGCCCUUUUCCAUUUUCUACCUGGAAAAAAUGUCUUCAUCUCAGCAUUGCUAUUUGCUUAUAACAAUUGUGCCUUAUAUUAUCUGCGUCUUGGGGCCAGUGCUAACACUGCCACAUAUUUGAACAAUGACUCACACCUCAAGUCCUUUUAGAGAUAUCCUGACCAUGAAUUUGUUAUGCAAACCAGAAAAAAUGGUCUUAUGUUUUCAAUCGGACUUGUCUUCCCAAAAAGGGACUGUUAAAUAGUGAUAAUUGAUAAAAACUGUAUUUUGGGGUGUAUGUGUGUGUGUGUGUGUGUGUGUGUGUGUGUGGCUGGAAUUUGAACCCAGGGACUUCUGCUAAUGCUCUCCCACUGGAAGUCCUGAUCUCUUAAAAAUGCUUUUAAUUAUGAAAAAAAUAUUUGAAUCAUGUGAUGGUUCUAAAACCAAAGGAAAACCUUGCUUGUUCUUAUCAUCAAUGUCAGAGGAAAGACGGCUGAGCAGUGCACCCCCAUGGGCUUUGCUAUCAGUAACACCUCUGAUAUAUGGUCAUUAUGGUAAUAGUUGUUUCAAUUGGUUCUCAGGAAGUUAGAGGAUGCUUUCAUCUCUCUCAAACCAAUUGAAUUCAGCCACACUUUUCAUUUUGCAUGGCCCUGCCUAAGUGUCCAAUGGUGACCUUUUGAUAGCAAACAAACAAAAUAUGCACCUUCAAAUGACACCGACUCACCAUUUUCUAAACUUGUGAACUGCAUAAACUGUGACACCUUUCCCUCUGCCUCAUAUCAUGCUGUUUCUGUAUCACAUAAGCCCCUAAAUACUAUCUUCAGAGAGGUAAGUUGAAAGUGCUCCCUCUUUAUGAUUAGUGUCUCACGAACAAAAUGUUUCUCUUGUGUAAAACUCAUUUCAGUGACUGGUAUAUGGUGCAAAAUGGGUCUUUUUGCUAGAGUUCAAAUAUAAAACAAAUAAAAGUAAUAUAUUCUCUGA